RNAcentral lists this long non-coding RNA (1513 nucleotides) under Sus scrofa (pig). Its description in RNAcentral is "lncRNA (ENSSSCG00025055226.1)". Lineage: Eukaryota; Metazoa; Chordata; Mammalia; Artiodactyla; Suidae. The record is from RNAcentral.
AUGAGGUCUUUUUUCUCCCGCAGUGGUUAUGGGCCAGUUUCCCAUCUCUUCUUCCAAAGAGCCCAUCUCUGGGUGUUCAGAGAAUCUAAUUCACGCACCAUUUGGUUUGGGAAGAAAGACCUGUGGAAGAGGCGGGGCUUUCAGCUGGAGCCUUUCUCCCAAUCCUCCCGAGCUCGCCCAAGGCUCCCCACCCACACUGGGUGGGAAAACCAUCUAGCGAGAGUUUCACCGCUCAUUUCGCAAAUGGUAAGUUCCUUCCGCCUGGUUUGCUCUGUCCUGUGUCCACGGACCCUCUCGGCCCCCGGGCCUGAUCGAGGGUCUCUAACCCUGUCAGAUGCUCCCUCUCCGUGGCAGAGGGCUGCGGGGAAGCAGCCUGGGCACGGGAGAACCUGGUCGAUCUCCCGAAACCUUGUUUUCUCCCAUAACCCAGAAGGUUUACACAACACCUUCUCUUACGUGUUCUCACUCUGCCCUCAGGCUGACCUUGAGAGCAUAUCCCCACUUUACAGAUGAGCCCCUUAAAGCCCAGAAAGGUGAACUGGGGAGUUCCCAUUGUGGUGCAGUGGUAAUGAACCCGACUCGCAUCCAUGAGGAUGCGGGUUCCAUCCCUGGCCUCGCUCAUGGGGUUAACGAUCCAGCAUUGCUGUGAGCUGUGGUGUAGGUCACAGACGUGGUUUGGAUCCCACAUUGCUGUGGCUGUGGUGUAGGCCUGCCACUGCAGCUCCAAUCGCUCCCUAGCCUGUAUGCUGCCGGUGCAGCCCUAAAAAGCCAAAAAAAAAAAAAAAAAAAAAAAAAAAAACGGGACUUGUCUAAACCCAGGAUCCCUGGCUACAGUGUGCCUCCUGCCCAGAUAUUCAGUUGUCCUGCACCCACCUGGGGAUUCUGUUAUGACCCCUGAACCCCCACCCCCAACCUGGCCUUGGUAUCUGACUGCCCAGACUCCUCUUCCCGCCUCUGCUCUCAGCCCCCCGUCCCAGUGGGGCCGGGUUUCUGGUGUUCUCUGAGCCUGCCAGGUGGUGGGUGGGCUUCUGGGAGACCCAGCGCCCCGCAUGGGUGUUGUAGAAUUUGUGAUGCCUGCUUGUGUGCAUUUAUCUGGGUAAGAAUCCAGUUUCGGAGUUCCCGUCGUGGCGCAGUGGUUAACGAAUCCGACUAGGAACCAUGAGGUUGCGGGUUCGGUCCCUGCCCUUGCUCAGUGGGUUAACGAUCCGGCGUUGCCGUGAGCUGUGGUGUAGGUUGCAAACGCGGCUCGGAUCCCGCGUUGCUGUGGCUCUGGUGUAGACCGGUGGCUACGGCUCCAAUUAGACCCUAGCCUGGGGACCUCCAUAUGCCGCAGGAGCGGCCCCAAGAAAUAGCAAGAAAAAAAAAAAAAGAAUCCAGUUUCAUCAGCUCCUCAAAGUCAAUGGGGUCCCCCCGCAAAAAAAAGGGUUAAAUUAAUUUCAGACAUUCGUUCCUUCCCCCAAAUGCCCUCUCCACCCCUCUCGACCCAGGUAAUGCCACGCUUCCUAAUUUUUCU